GAUGAACGCUGGCGGCGUGCCUAAUACAUGCAAGUCGAGCGAACAGACGAGGAGCUUGCUCCUCUGACGUUAGCGGCGGACGGGUGAGUAACACGUGGAUAACCUCCCUAUCAGACUGGGAUAACUUCGGGAAACCGGAGCUAAUACCGGAUAAUAUAUUGAACCGCAUGGUUCAAUAGUGAAAGACGGUUUUGCUGUCACUUAUAGAUGGAUCCGCGCCGCAUUAGCUAGUUGGUAAGGUAACGGCUUACCAAGGCAACGAUGCGUAGCCGACCUGAGAGGGUGAUCGGCCACACUGGAACUGAGACACGGUCCAGACUCCUACGGGAGGCAGCAGUAGGGAAUCUUCCGCAAUGGGCGAAAGCCUGACGGAGCAACGCCGCGUGAGUGAUGAAGGUCUUCGGAUCGUAAAACUCUGUUAUUAGGGAAGAACAAAUGUGUAAGUAACUAUGCACGUCUUGACGGUACCUAAUCAGAAAGCCACGGCUAACUACGUG
RNAcentral lists this ribosomal RNA (497 nucleotides) under uncultured bacterium. Its description in RNAcentral is "partial 16S ribosomal RNA". It matches the Rfam family "Bacterial small subunit ribosomal RNA", at positions 28 to 507 of the family's 1533-position model. The record is from RNAcentral.